This is a non-coding RNA of Camellia sinensis, 296 nucleotides long. NCBI's taxonomy places the organism in Eukaryota, Viridiplantae, Streptophyta, Magnoliopsida, Ericales, Theaceae. The record is from RefSeq and is a predicted model, not a curated record.
UUCUAGGUGGUGAACACUCUCAUUCACACGAUCUUGAUGUGGACCAUGCUCAUUCUCAUGUUCAUUUUGGACAUGAGCAUUCACGUCUCUUAAACAUGCACUUCCUUAAAAGAUCUGUUGGUUUGUCCGUUUUGGAGAAAAACUAGCAGUGGUGCUGGAAAAGAUAACAUUUCAGAUGCUCCAAAUGGCUCCACUCACCAUAUAAAAUCCGUGGUCGAAAAAGAACUUUCUCAUUCUCCAUCAAAUCUUGUGUUUGGUUACCUUAACCUCUUCUCCGAUGGUGUACACAAUUUUAC